CGUCUAGGCGGCAAUGCAAGUCAUGCGUGAAAGCUCCUGGCUCAACUGGGAGAGUGCGUGUGAAACUGCAUAGCUAGAGUCUUGGAGGGGUGCGUGGAAUUCCCGGUGGAGUGGUGGAAUGCGUUGAGAUCGGGAGGAACACCAGAAGCGAAGGCGGCGCACUGGCCAAGAACUGACGCUGAAGCGCGACAGCGUGGGGAGCAAACAGGAUUAGAUACCCUGGUAGUCC
This 229-nucleotide ribosomal RNA is filed under the name uncultured bacterium. Its description in RNAcentral is "partial 16S ribosomal RNA". It matches the Rfam family "Bacterial small subunit ribosomal RNA", at positions 568 to 796 of the family's 1533-position model. The record is from RNAcentral.